CGGAAACGCAAAGAUAAAAAACAAAAACGGAAACCGAAUAAAAAAAGAAAAAUUCAUCAAACACAUAAAAGACCAUGCUACAUUCAUAAUAUUGAAACGUCGGAUUUCGAUAGCAUCAAUCAAAUUAUUCGUGAUCAUAAAUAUCAAUUGAAAGACAUUAAAAAAACUUGGAAAGUCGUACCAAAAGAUUCGUGUGAAGUAUACAAGAAUCGUCGCAACCGAAAAGAUGAAACUGUAUCCGAAAGAAAUAAGGAAGAAGGAAACCAAAGAGAAGAUAGUAACGGACAGAGAGUUCAUGCGAAGAGAAGGGUUAGGCGGCCUUUGAAAAGAGAUAGCCGUGGACGGUUUCUUCCCGAAUCUUCCAAAUGCUCGUGCUGUACACGGACUAACACGGAUACAGAUACUACAUACACUCCGUCGGAGGCAGCUUACGAUGAUUGAAUUAAUUAAUUUUGUUACGUUUAUAUUAUAAUUGUUUUAUUUAUGC
Zerene cesonia (dogface butterfly) is the source of this 487-nucleotide long non-coding RNA. RefSeq lists it as uncharacterized. The transcript has 3 exons. Lineage: Eukaryota; Metazoa; Arthropoda; Insecta; Lepidoptera; Pieridae. The record is from RefSeq and is a predicted model, not a curated record.